UACGUAGGCAGCAAGCGUUGUUCGGAAUUACUGGGCGUAAAGAGUGCGUAGGCGGUGCUCUAAGUUCGGUGUGAAAUCUCCCGGCUUAACUGGGAGGGUGCGCCGGAAACUGGAGUGCUUGAGCGCGGGAGAGGAAAGCGGAAUUCCUGGUGUAGCGGUGAAAUGCGUAGAUAUCAGGAGGAACACCUGUGGUGUAGACGGCUUUCUGGACCGUAGCUGACGCUGAGACACGAAAGCGUGGGUAGCAAACAGG
RNAcentral lists this ribosomal RNA (253 nucleotides) under uncultured bacterium. RNAcentral's name for it is "partial 16S ribosomal RNA". It matches the Rfam family "Bacterial small subunit ribosomal RNA", at positions 524 to 776 of the family's 1533-position model. The record is from RNAcentral.